RNAcentral lists this long non-coding RNA (1402 nucleotides) under Cricetulus griseus (Chinese hamster). Its description in RNAcentral is "lncRNA (ENSCGRG00000024309.1)". Lineage: Eukaryota; Metazoa; Chordata; Mammalia; Rodentia; Cricetidae. The record is from RNAcentral.
CUCACUUUCUCCUGCCCUUAGAAUGAGGGUUACAAUACUGGCCUCCAUGGUUCUCAGACCUCAAGACUGAGUCACAACCCCAACUUUUCUGGGCUCUAGCUUGCAGGAGGCAUAUCCCAGAUCUCUCUCCCUUCAGUCACAUGGGCCAGCCCCACACAGUAAGUGUCCUAUGUUUCUCUGUGGAGAACCCUGACUAACACGGUGCAUAGCAUUAGACUGGGGUAUUAGGUCGUAUGUAGGUGACCUCCCUGGCUACCUUCUUGUGGUUGUAUGGUUACCAUGUCUCGUUGCACAACUUAUAAUGACUAUAUGGAGUUGUGUCUGGGCAUGGAUAAGACCUGCAAACUUGGAUAGUUCCUCUUUGUCAGCCCUUUGCCAGGUCUUCAGCAGUCAAGUCAUGACAUGUCAUGUCAGUCUCAUGAUCCACAGAUGUACACUGCCAUUCACAUUGCUCUUUCACUGUGACUUUACAGCACUGGGGUUUCUCAUGCUACGCACUGUCAACAGCCUACAUCAAGGGCCUAAGGAACUGUUCCUUUCAAAGUCUGCUACAUACUGCCAAGAUGGAGUAUUUCCUAGAAGAUGUAGGUUGGAUCUUGUAACAUCUUUGCUCAGUCAAAAAGGAAAAGUGAAGCUUGGAGACAUUUUGUGGAAGACACUCACAUGUAGCUGGUAUAGGAACCCAAGUUGGUUGCAGCAGAACCUAAAAAUCUACAACUGUGUGGACUUCUAUUAUUGUUACACGUUGUGGAAUGUGGCUAAUUGGGCACACUGUUGUAUGGUCACUUCCCGUUCUUAUGAAUACCAGCUUCCUCCUUGUCAAAGUUUCAGCUUCCUCAGAAGUGCCAACACUCCAAAUGAAUGCAUACAAGCCCUGUUAGUGAAAUCUGUCAGUGUCUGCAAAUGAAAAUACUUAGAUGACUGAGCUAAAACAGGUGGUCUUGAGAUUCUGUCUACACAAGCUUUGGAGGACUCAUCCUUGGUCAUUUGUGGUCACUUUUGUGACCAUGUUCCAGAGUGAAUUUUAAGAAGAGAGAGCUAGGACUCUGAAAUACUUUCCACAUACCAUUUGGCAAGAAAAUCAUUGUUGGGGUCACCUGGACUUUAAAUGUGGCCAGUUCCUCCUCUUGGGAAAUUUGCAGUAUUUACCUCUCAGGACUUGAUCUCCUUGAUUACCACAAGCUCAGCACGUAUGAUCAAGUGGAACUGAACAACUCCACAAACAGCUUCUUCCCCUUUAUGCAGGCGUGCACCAAGCACUAAUUUAAUUGGUCAGAAGGCCCUUUCAAAAGGCUCAGAGAUAGCCCUUUGUUUCAGCUCAAGUCUGCCACCUUGUGGACAGUGCUGUUUUUAAAUUAUUUCUCAACUUUUUUCCUUUCUAAAAAUUUAUUUUUCAUUUUAU